Canis lupus familiaris (dog) is the source of this 139-nucleotide non-coding RNA. The record is from RefSeq and is marked provisional. NCBI's taxonomy places the organism in Eukaryota, Metazoa, Chordata, Mammalia, Carnivora, Canidae.
CAAGCUCUUCUGGAUGGUGCAGUUCUUUGGUGCUUAAAGAAUGGUUGUCCGUAGUAUGGUCUCUAUAUUCAUGGUGAUUAAUAUCGGACAACCAUUGUUUUAGUAUCCAACUUUGCUUCAAAAGUUCUCCCAAGCACGC